Janthinobacterium sp. HH01 is the source of this 122-nucleotide non-coding RNA. NCBI's taxonomy places the organism in Bacteria, Pseudomonadati, Pseudomonadota, Betaproteobacteria, Burkholderiales, Oxalobacteraceae. The record is from Rfam.
GCAACAUCAACUUCUCGCGCAAGAACCGCGUGGUGUUCCUGUCCAUGCUGGGCAACUCGUGGUUCUGGUUCUACGGCGCGCUGGUGCUGGCGCAGUUCCCGGUGUACGCCAAGGACUACCUG